This 10842-nucleotide long non-coding RNA is filed under the name Gossypium barbadense (sea-island cotton). Its description in RNAcentral is "long non-coding RNA (GBAR_LNC006187)". The record is from RNAcentral. Lineage: Eukaryota; Viridiplantae; Streptophyta; Magnoliopsida; Malvales; Malvaceae.
AUCACAUACCAAGACAACAUUGCAUAUUUUCAUUCCAUCUACUAUUUUCCAAAACAUACCAUAUUUGAAUACUUAUACACAAUCAAAACAUUGUACCAAGUUAAGCCAAAUCACAUGGCUUUAACAUAAACCACAAAAUGUACCAAACUCACCAUCUUAAGUAAGUAUAACUAUCAUCUUUAUAGAUAACCUAUACAUGUCAUAUUUACAUAUAUCCAUAAGUUCAAAGGUACCAAUCGACAACUGGAUAGUAUGAUGCGUAACUCUGACUUUAUCCGAAUCGAGCGAGCUAUCGAACCUUUAUAAAACAUAGAAAAGAAACAGAGUAAGCUUUAUAGCUUAGUAAGCCCGUAUAAUUUAGCAUUUAACUUACCAUUUACACACAAUCAAACAAUUAAACAAAGUAUAUCAAAUUCACUUGCCAAAUGCCUAUACACAAGCAUUCAUCAACAAGUUAGUCACAUAAGUAUAUGUAAUCAUCUAUUAUAUCAAUUUAAUACUCAAUACAUUGUAUCAUAUCAAAUUCAUAUAUCAUGUACAUCAUUUGUAACAUUUCACUCUCAAUCAUAUAAACAGUAAAUCAUUCGAUAAACAGUAAGUCAUCCAUUUAAACAGUACUUCAUCCAUAUAAUAGUAAUUCAUCCAUAUAACACAUAAAUUUUUCACAUAACCAAUAAUAAAAUUUAUACCUGUUGAACCUAUUAGAAUAUCGAUAGAUACAUGGGUAAUACACACUACGUGUAUUAAUCGAUAAUCCAUCAAUUCAUCAUCAUAUUCACUCUUUCGAGCUAUGAUCGGUAAGCUCCUCCUGAGCUGAUGGACAGUAAGCUCUAUUGAGCUGAAAUAGUAAGCUCUGACGAGCUGAGAACAAUAAGCUCUUACGAGCUGAUAUAUUAGUAAGCUCAUACGAGCUGAGGUGAGUCCGCAACAUAUGCAGGAUCUCAACCUAAACAGUAACCCUAAUAACAUGUCACUCGUAUCUUACGAAUUCCUACGGUUCAAAUGGGGCUCGAUAACCAUCAGACUAUAUCCAUAAGGCAUUUGUAUUUCAAGUAAAUCAUUUAUUCAAUUACAUACAUUCAUUUCAAAUAAUUAUAAGUAUUUAAAAGUUCGAUUCUAAUUAUACGAAGUUACCUCGUAUCGCUCAAAUAACAAAUAUCUGCUAAUCGUCAACCUUUCCUUUUUCCCGAUUUAGAUUCAAUCCUUACUUAUCUUGAUCUAUUUAUUAUCAAAAUCAGCUUAUUUAAUCAACUAUUUAUUCAAUUUAGUCUAAAACACACAUUAGGACUAUUUUACACAUUUUCCCCUAAACUUUCACAUUUUUACAAUUUAAUCCUUAUCACAUGAAAUUGCAAAUUCAUGCAAUUUAGUACAAUUUCAUGCUAGCCGAAUAAACUACAUGUUACUAGCAGCCCAUAUCUUCAAUUUAUUCACACUUUUACCCACAUAAUUUUACAUUUUCAUAAAUUAAUCCUUUUUUGACAUUUUUGUCAAAAAUCACUUUACAAAACUAGUAAAUCUAUCAAUAAACCUUCAUAAUCUAUCACAAUUCAUCAAAUUACUCAAGCAUUCAACAAUGGUAACAUGAUAAAUCUUUAACAAUUUUGAAAUCUAGGGUACGGGCUAGCUAGAAUAUGAAGCAAUGAUUACAAAAAUAUAGAAAUCAUGAAAAACCGAGCAAAAAUGGCACCUAAAAUUUUAGCUUUUCUUCUUACCAAAUUCGGCUAAGGAAGAUGAUGAUAAUAUAAAAUGGAUUUUGUUUUCUUUAUUUUAACAUUUAUUAACUAUUUUACCAUUUUAACCUUAAAAUUAAUACAAAAUUUCAUUUAUGCCAAACUAAUAACAUCCACUAACCAACUAAUAGUGUAACACCCCAAACCCGGCCUAGACGUUAUGGUCAAAUCUGGUGACGUCACAUGGAAUGGAAUUUGAAAAUCGAAUUUAUCAAGUUAAAGCUGUUUCUGUUUAUUAGCUUUUAUUUGUCUCUCAUCAAUUUCAAAACUUAUUUCCUCGCUAAUUUGAUUCGAUUGAAAAAAAACAUAUCUCGUAGCGGAAGCUUUUAAACCGUGAUGUUUGAAGAAAACCAUUUGCAGUUAGGAAAAAUGUUGAUUUUAAUUAAACCAAGUUUUCGUUGCAGUUCAAAAUCUCAUGAAAACAAUUAAAAAUCCAGAAUAAAUGCAAACUGACCAAAAGUCCCAAAAGUCCAAUUUACAUAAAAAAAUAACCCAGAAAAUAAAUAAAAGAUAAAUACCAUAUCUGAAAUUAAAGUAGUUCAUUAAUCAUGUGGUCACCGUCAAGUCCUCCGCCGCACCGAUCCGUCUAUGUGUGGGGAUUACCUGUACAGUUAAGACAAUGGGUGAAUUUAUGUGAACUCAGUGUAUAAUCCCCAUAGAAAACAUACAUACAGUCAAUCAUAACAAACCGUCAAAUGCAGUCUGGGCCUAAGCCCAUUACAGUUCCAAUAGAAAUUUGGGCCUUAGCUCAAUUCAAUUUCAGUAUUCAGUAUCAGUUAGCACUAGGGCCUUAGCCCAUCAAAAUAUCAGUCAUGCAUACAGUAACCAGUAACAGAUUCCUACCCACCAGCCUCUAUACACCAUCUCCAUCCAUCCCCACACUCCAUAUGGGGUUCAAAAACUCGCACCCAUCCCUACACUCCAAUUAGUACCGAAUGCAGCACAUGAUUAGUAGAUUUGUAGCUAAGCUACCAGAUAUUAGGCUUAAGAGCCUUUCAGUACACUUCCUAUGGUCAUCCCAACCUAAUGCAAUACAGCAUACAAUAAAUGACAUGCUAUUACAUAAUUAACAGUUUAUAUACAGUUCAGUAUACAUGCAUAGAAGCAUCAUGUUCAGUACAUACAUCAUGCAUUCAAUUUACGCAUAUAGAGGUCCAAGCAAUGCUUACUAACCCCAUAGUAGGUUCACAGUCGACUUGGGAGACCCGUGCAACCUUAAGAAACUUUUUUGUUAAAUGGACCCACACACUCAUGUGGCCUGCCCGUGUGUGCCCACACACCCGUGUGGCCCACACGGCCUAAUUUGGUCUUGGUCGUAUAGAUCACACGGUCUGGCCUAAAAUUCCACACGCCUAUGUGAACUACCCGUGUGGCCCACACGACCCAAAUCAGUCUUAGCCCGUGUGUCACACACGGCCUACUUGGCUAUCACAUGGUCGUGUCCUACGCGCAUGGCCUGGCCCCGUUGAUCACACGCCCGUACCCCAUCACACAGCCUACCAUACAGGUAACCACACGCCCGUGUGGCGUCGAUAGUGAGGUUUUUAGCUUUCAUCGAAACCUCAUUUUCUACAUUUUCAGGUACACACCUAGUAUCGAUUGAUGCUAAAACGAUCCCUGAGCAUUCCAGAACCUAAAAACUAGCAUUCCAACACCCAAUUUCAGUAACAUUAUCAAAGAUCAAACAGGAUUGUAACGACACGUUCAUCUAUUAACUAUUGAUAAUCAUACCUUUAAUCGAAACGAGAAUCCCACCCACUUAACUCGUCGAUUCCAGACCUUCUGCCCCUCGAAUAUGUCCUAAACACCAAAAGAGACCCUUAGCAAAACGAUUCGUCAAACAAAUGAAAACUGAACCUACCAAAACUUAUAUCAGAUGUGAAUGGAGAGUGGAAAAAAGGCAGAUUUUCAGUAACCGAAAGGAGGAAAAUGAAAAAAAAAGGACAAUGAGAAAGGGGAGAUGAUCAGUUUUUCUGCAGAGAGAAUUUUGGGAAGCUAAUAACUCAAAUCCCGCUACCUACUCUAUCUCAACCACCUACUACUCAGAUUUUCAGUGCAACUCAAACUCCCAGCCAUCAAACCGAGCAAAAAUAUUCCCCUUUGCCCAUGCAGGGAUUCAAACACCAGGCCUCCAGCAUACUAAUACUCCACUUAACCACUAGACCAGCAGGCCCAUUUUGACAUGUACUUACAAAUACUUAAACUUAAGCCUACUAAGCGGGGUUUAGGCUUUAUUUAGAUGAAUACCAAAAUUUAGCUAAAGACUUAGCUUGAACUUAGGGCCUCUUACACACACCCAGACACUUAACCAUUGAAUCAGAUACACAUUUGUGUCAAAAUUUUACAAAAGUCAAAAAAAAGUUUUUGGGGCGUUAAAAAUGGUAUAUUUAUCAAUUAAAGACCUUUAAUUUAAUGUUCCAUAACUAUUCAACACUUUUAGUUAAUAGAACACAAGUUUUAUGCUUUACGCGAUUUAGUCCUUUUUACCAAAUUGAGCAAUUAAACGAUAAAUUUUUUUACGAAAAUUUUACACCAACAUGAUAUCAUACUGUAAAAUUUAUAAUAAUAAUAAAAUAAUUAUUUUGACUUCAAAUUUUUUGUUCCAAAACCACUAUUCUGAUUUGACUAAAAAUGGGCUGUUACAAAUAGUGUCUGGUCAUUUAUUAGGGUUGAACGUACAUAACAAAUAGCUUGGUCAAGGCUUAAUAUACAUGUAUUCUCGAGUCUGCAACACAUUUUGGAGCUCGAAACUUACUAGAAAUAACCUGUAACCUCGUAUAUGAGACUUUCACUAAUUUCAUUAAGGUUUAAUCUCACAUUAUACCAUUUCGCAACAAUCUAUUUCAACCUGAUUCAAUUCUCAAUUUAGGUACUAAAUCAUAGUCAAUUCAAUAUAUCAAUAAAACAUUAAUGAACAUAAAGAUGAAGCUCAAUAGUAAUUUAAACUAUAUGAACUUACCAAGGCUAAUAGCAAAAGUAGAAGUGCCAAGGACUAGUCUGUAAAUUUCCUUUUUCCCCGAUUGUCAAUCGUCUUGUUUAAAUCUUGAUCUAUAAUAUAUAUUUAUUUCAAUUUAAUCACUAAAAUAUCAUAAUACAUCCUAUUACAAAUAUAUGUAAGCUCAAUUUUAUCUUUCAGUUAUUUCUUCAAGUUUUACAUGUUAUUCAAUUUAGUCCCUAAAAUCAAACUUAUCAUAACUUCCAAAUUUGGACUCCAAAUCUUAAACCAACUUCAAUAUAUCCAAUAACGGUCCUAUUAUAAAAAAUUACAGAAAUUAGAUGUCAAUUUCAAGAUAUUAACAAUUUAGUCUUUAUGUUCAAAACUAACAAUUUCCACUUCACAAACUUGGUUUUUUUUUCAUUUCUAAGAUUCAAAUCUAACAACUUAACAUUAAAAUCUUCAAAUAUCAACAAUGGUAACAUUUUGAAACAAUAGCAGUUUUAAAAGCAAACAUACAAAUUAACUAAAUGAGUUGCAACAAUCCCGAAAACAUAAAAUUUACGAGAAAUGGAUGAAAAAUGACCUACCAUGCAUAAAGCUAAAGUUGGCCAAAUGUUGAAGCUUUAUCAAUGGCUUCUCAAGGUUUCAUUCUUUCCACAAUGAAGAAGAACAAAAAGGAAAUGGAUGAUGAAUUUUAAUUUUAACUUAUAUAGAUAGUUUAUUAAUUAAUUAAUCCUAAUUUACUUAAUUAAUCAUAAUUUAUUAACAAUGGAUGAUAGUUGUCUACCACUAUACUAAAAAGGGUCAAAUUCCUCAAUUGGUCUUUCAGUUAAUUAAAAUUUCAUAACGAUUAACUUUUACCAUUUUUACAGUUUAAUCAUUGUACCUCAAUUAGUCACUAAUUCAGUAAAAUUACCUAUCCAAAAUUCAAUUCACCUAUAUAAUCACUCUAUAAAUAUUUAAUAAAAACAUUUUCAAGCUCAGUUUAUGAAAACGAGGCCUCGAUACCUUAUUUUCCAAAACCACUUGACUUUAGGACUGAAAUAUUAUAUCAAAAUUAUCAUAUCAAAAUGCACUAUAUCAUUUUACUGGACUCGUAAAUAUUAAAUAAUAAUAUUUACGGACUCACUAGUUGAAAUUGUGAUCCUGAAACCACUGUUUUUGACACCACUGAAAAAUGGGUUGUUACAUUCUAAGUUUGAAUAAUUUAUCUUUAAAUUGUAAGAAUGCUAAUUAGGUGGAUGGUAUAGGAUGUUACACUUAGUUUCUUUUAUUUCAAAUUUUAGAACCCAUAACGUAAGUAGACAAAUCCUUUAGCUAACCCUACUUUUAGGCACUCAAAUGCUUUCACACAUGCAUUUUAAUUCACAUUUUGAAUUAGGCCUUAUACACAUUUUCAGUGUUCAAUUUUUUCUUUCUCCAUAUCAUAGUCAUUUCUAUAUUUUUAUCUUGUAUCGACUCUUGAUGACAUUACGCAAGACUUUACAUUUUAACAUAUUUUUUUGCCAUAAUUGCUUUAUCCAGUCUUUCCAUGAUGUCAACAUGGUUCAUACAUGUGCAUACAUACCUUAUCAAGUUUUAAUUUCUUCCAUGAAACCUUAGUAUCAUUUUCAUAUAAUUGACUAACAAGACAUCACAUAGCAACUCAUAAUUUCUCUUUCACAUUUUAAUUUUAUUUUAUAUAACAUUAUACCAUUGAAUUUCAUAUUAUCAUUAACAUAAUUAAACACUUAAUUAUAUCAUCAGUUUCAUAGUUUCCUAAGCUUACUAACUUAGAAGAAAUUAGAGUAUCCAAGGUAUUUACCUUAAUUGAUGCUCUACAAUACUUAAUCAAGUUCCAUGUAUUCCAAUUCAUCAAUAAAGCUUGAAAACCGAUGUCCUCAUUUCCAUACAACAAAAAUACAUUAAAAGAUUAAUAUAAAUUUUUUCAAAACUUUUCUCAUAACAUUUCACAACAAGUAUCAAGCUAGUAGAGAUGUAGGAAGUCAUUUCUUAUCUUAUUGAAGCUUUCUCACUCUAGCUUCAACUCUCUUACUAAAAAUCCAUAAACCCUAGGCUGUCAUUGAAGAAAUUGAUAGACGAAUUGAGCUUAGGAGAUUGUUUCCAUGGACAUUUUGACAAAAUCUCAAGGUUGAAGGUGAAGCUUUUGAGAGAAAAUGAAAAAAAAAAGUGAGGAAAAUGAAAAAGGAGAAGAAAGAGACCUAUGAAGGUUGCUGCCAGCUGGAGAAGAGGAGAAUGAAAGUUGAUAGCUACCUCUAUGGAUCCCAUUUAAAAUGACCAACAACAAGCCCAACUGAUCCAAGUCUAAUUUGUGAAAUUGUGGCCUGAUUUUUUAAUACAAGGUUCUAAUUAUAAAAAAAUAAUUUUGAACAUCAAAUACCAUAUUAGAUAUUAUUUCCAUUACAAAAGUCUUGAGAAAUGACUAAAUUAUCCUUCUAUUACAAAAUUAUCAUUUUGGACCAAGCUCGAGCCUAGAAAAUGGGCUUAAAAUUUUGCAUCGAUCUGGCCUGGCCCAUGAUUAAGUCUAGUAUCAAAUAUGAAAAUCAUAUUAUUUUAAAGAGUCUAAAAUUAUUUUUUAUGCAUAUUAAAUUUUAUUUUACAUAAUAUCAAGAUGUUUAAAUUUUAUAGGUAGAUUAUUUUAUCUUUGCUUUCACAAAUCCAAAUUGACCUCAAAAUAAAUUUCACUUUUUUUAAAUAUAUAUUAAUAAUAUAUGUAGAAUAACGUAAAAUUAAGGAAAAAAUUGAAAGAAAGAGUAUAUUAUAGAGCCUUAAGAACGAGAGAAAACAAGAAGCGGACGAAGUCAUAGUCGACUACCAAGAGGUUGGAAACCAACAUUCAAUAAGGUAUUGCAGAUGUUGUCAUAGAAGUUGUUUUAGGCAUAGACAAGCCUAGAUCCUGGAAAGAUCACCUCGUUGGAACAGGCCUAAGAGCCAACGAUAAAGCUGAAACGUUAACCAAAGAUGAGGAUAACGACGACUUAGAUUUACUUGAUGAAGACAUUAUGAGAUCGAUGGUAAAUGGCAUACCAGAAAUUGACAUAUCUGAUAGGGUUAAUCAAUUACUCAUAAAAGAUAUAAAACAUACGGUGAUAAUAAAACUCCUAGAAAGGAACAUUGGAUACGCAACUCUGCAAAAUAAGAUUCAUUCUUGAUAGAAACCAAGUCAACCAUUCCGAUUAAUGGAUAUCGAGAACGUUAUUACCUGGCUAAGUUCCAAAACCCUGGAGAUUUCGAGAAAGUACUAAGUCAAGGGCUCUGGAUAGUUUAUGGCCAGUACCUAACUAUUCAACCCUAAAGUAUUAAAUUUAACCCCUUGCAGCCUUACCCGAAUAUGGUUAUGGCAUGGAUAUGAUUACUAGGAUUGCCUGGACAUAUGUACAAAAGGAAAAUACUCUGGAAAAUAGGGGGAAUGAUAGGAAGGGUUGCAAAUUUAGAAUUUAAUACCGAUAAUGGAGUUCGGGCAAGAUUUGCAAGAAUUGUGGUUUACAUUAAUCUUGGAAAGGCUCUUAUAUCUCAAGUUCUAAUCAACGGAGUAUUGUAGAGAAUCGAAUACUAAUACCUCCCCAUAGUAUUCUUUUCUUGCAGCCAUUAUGGAUAUACGCAAGAUAUCUGCCAAAAAUCAACGAUUGAACAACAAGUGAUAAAAGGAAGCAUCGCUGAGGAAGGAAGAAUUUAGAAGACCAAGCCUAUACCAGGGACAAGUAACUCCACGACUAACUCCAACGCUUAUGGUCCAUGAAUGAUCCUUGAAAAAUAGAAUCGGCGAUGCUCAACAGAGGGGAAUGCCAUGAACUGUGCAACCAGAAAGAAAACAUAAGAAAAUAUUCGGUUUCAACCUUUGAAAACCCUAAACAAGAAAGUGGGUCCACAAGAGAGUAGGCCCACAAAGGAAAAUAACAUGUCCCAAAAGGAAAUAGGGUUUGUAUUGGACCAAACCACUGCAAAAAGAGGAUCUCCCCUCAUAGGCCACUUACAAAAAUGGCCUGGUAAGGAGAGUAUAACUUAUCCAAACUUAGGCAAACAGAAACGAACCAAAAAGAAAGAGCCCAACACACUUUCUAAAGGAAACCAGAUUAGGUUUAACCUAGAGAAACAAGGCCAUUCAGGCCCGAUGCAACUAGAGCCUAAAGAAAGAAUGGGAAAAAAAAACUAACCUAGCAGAAAAUGGCACAAGGGAAGAAGUACAAGUAGCGGUAGCCUUGUCCACACUACAAUCAGAAGGGGAACCGGUGACGGACGCGACGGCGGCCAAAGCGCAUAUCUAGACGCAAUGGGGAUAGAUCAUAGAGGACAUCCAUAGCGCACAACCAACAAAAAUUUCUGGGCCACAAACCAAUCAUCGAUUCAACACCAAAAAUCUGCCGGAGGUUGCAGUAACCCUUUCUAAAGGAAUACUAGAUCCAACCAAACACUCAGUAGUGGUUUUUAAAAAAUCUGGUGACCCUAGAGGAAAACAGAAGGAGUCUUUGGCAUUUAAAAAUGCUAUGGGUGGACAAGUGAAUGCUCUUACCCGGUGAACCAGUAUGGAGAAAAUGAAUGGAACAAAGGGCCAAAAAUUUAAAAGAAUUAUUCGGGAUAAAGAAAGCCUCUUCAAAGUUACAUAUUUCAAAGUCCCACUAUCAGAUUCAAUUACCAACAUGGUUGAACUGCUACAAGAACAAGUUAAAUAAGGUCUUCUCAACAAAAUAAAUGAGGAAGAAGCCGGGAACGAAGACAGCAAAGGCGUCAUACGGUAGCAAAAAUAAAUUGGGUAUUAUUCUUCUAAAUCUUUCAUGAUGAAUUCUAAUUUUAAUUUAUCACUUUUCAUUUAGAAUUGUCAAAUAUGUGCAAGUGCUAAAUUUCCACGCAUCUUCAGAGAGUAUAAUAUGGAUUUUAGACUAGACAUUGUAGGCCUUUUAGAACCAAGAGUGAGUGGUAUCAAGGCAAUGAAAUAAUUGCUAAGCUAUGCCUUCACCACUCCCAUCGAAUUGAAGCGAGAGGUUUCUCAAGGGGAAUUUGGAUCGGUUGGAGGGAUACAAUUUGACUUGAAAUUGUCCAAAACCAUCCCCAAUUUAGUCUUGUUAAGAUAUAUAAUGGGGGCUAAUACAACCCAUCCUAGUUGUUAUUGUCUACUGGAACCCCAAUGGUACAAAGAGGAAGAGCUUCUAGGAAGCUUUAAUAGUAACUAUAUUGCCUGAUAGUACCUUGGAUGAUAAUAGGUGAUUUUAGCACUAUUUUCUCCUAAGAAGGCAAAAAAGGUUGCAGUACCGUAGGAAAAAGUUGCCCACAUUUCAGAGAAUUCAUUGAAUCUACAAACCUACAAGAUCUGGGAUUUCAAGGGCCCUCAUUUACUUGGCAAAGAGGAGGAGUCUUCGAAGGAUUGGAUAGAGCAAUAGGAAAUGAAGCUUGGUGCCAAUCAUUUCCCCAUUGUUUAGCAACACAUCUAACUCAAAUAAAAUCAGACCAUAUGCCGUUGCUUGUUAACAUUAACUCGGACUUAAAAAUCCCUAAAGGAUAGCAUUUCAGGUUUCUUGCUAAAUGGGCACGGCACCAAGACUUCCCAAACAUAGUUAAAAGAUUAUGGAGCUACAGGGAAUACAUGCAUAUCAACUUAGAUCAACUCACCGUAGGCCUUAAAGUUUGGAACAAAAACGUAUACGGACACAUUGGGACUCGCAAACAGAAGCUAAUGAAAUCUUUAAGCUCGGUACAAACGAAGCUUGAAAGAUCAUAUUCGAACUCCUUGUAAAUUGAUAUAGUGGAUAGGAAUACAUUUGUUUUUCACAGUUGAACAAUGCACAGAAGAAAAAUUAAUCGUAUUACCGUGGCCUGCAACAUAAAUACAGAAUGGCUAUUUGACCCAGAGGACAUACAAGAAUAAGUUGUUAAUUACUUUUAAAAACUAUAUGGCGAAAAACCAAACAGAUAGGGAGAGUUACCUCCAAGUUGCUUUCUUCCACUAGAACACAGUGACAUUGAUUUUAAAAAAGAGGUCACAAAUGAAGAAAUCAAAUCAGCACUUUUUGACAUGGCUCCUCUGAAGCACCUGAAAGUGAUGGAUAUCACGCGUUUUUCUUUCAAAACCAAUAGGAUAACAUAGGAGGAGUAGUAAGUGAUUGGGUCAAAGACGUAUUCAAUGGGUGACCCAUCAACCAAGAACUCAACAACAUAUUAAUCAUCCUAAUCCCAAAG